This 253-nucleotide ribosomal RNA is filed under the name uncultured bacterium. RNAcentral describes it as "partial 16S ribosomal RNA". It matches the Rfam family "Bacterial small subunit ribosomal RNA", at positions 524 to 776 of the family's 1533-position model. The record is from RNAcentral.
UACGGAGGGGGCUAGCGUUGUUCGGAAUCACUGGGCGUAAAGGGCGCGUAGGCGGCUUUAUAAGUCGGGGGUGAAAGCCUGUGGCUCAACCACAGAAUUGCCUUCGAUACUGUAUGGCUUGAGACCGGAAGAGGUUAGUGGAACUGCGAGUGUAGAGGUGAAAUUCGUAGAUAUUCGCAAGAACACCAGUGGCGAAGGCGGCUGACUGGUCCGGAUCUGACGCUGAGGCGCGAAAGCGUGGGGAGCAAACAGG